CCAACAGGGAUUGCCUCAGUAACGGCGAGUGAAGCGGCAACAGCUCAAAUUUGAAAUCUGGCCCUUUCGGGGUCCGAGUUGUAAUUUGUAGAGGAUGCUUCGGGUUCGGCUCCGGUCUAAGUUCCUUGGAACAGGACGUCACAGAGGGUGAGAAUCCCGUAUGUGACCGGCCGUCGCGCCCGUGUGAAGCUCCUUCGACGAGUCGAGUUGUUUGGGAAUGCAGCUCAAAAUGGGUGGUAAAUUUCAUCUAAAGCUAAAUACUGGCCAGAGACCGAUAGCGCACAAGUAGAGUGAUCGAAAGAUGAAAAGCACUUUGGAAAGAGAGUUAAACAGUAUGUGAAAUUGUUGAAAGGGAAGCGCUUGCAACCAGACUUGCCCGCGGGUGAUCAGCCGGUGUUCUCACCGGUGCACUCACCUGCGGUCAGGCCAGCAUCGGCUUGGGUGGCCGGACAAAGUCCCCCGGAACGUAGCUCCUUUCGGGGAGUGUUAUAGCCGGGGGUGCAAUGCGGCCCGCCUGGACCGAGGACCGCGCUUCGUGCUAGGAUGCUGGCGUAAUGGUUGUAAGCGACCCGUCUUGAAACACGGACCAAGGAGUCUAACAUCUAUGCGAGUGUUUGGGUGUCAAACCCAUGCGCGUAAUAAAAGUGAACGGAGGUGGGAACCCUUCAGGGUGCACCAUCGACCGAUCCUGAUGUCUUCGGAUGGAUUUGAGUAAGAGCAUAGCUGUUGGGACCCGAAAGAUGGUGAACUAUGCCUGAAUAGGGUGAAGCCAGAGGAAACUCUGGUGGAGGCUCGCAGCGGUUCUGACGUGCAAAUCGAUCGUCAAAUUUGGGUAUAGGGGCGAAAGACUAAUCGAACCAUCUGUUUACUGGAUGGCGCAAUGGGUGGAUUCACCCAGACAGUCCUCGGGUCCUCGAGGGCGACACUGUCGGUCUUGCGGGGACGCCUUCAGGUUACCCGAAGUGAGUUUUGAUGCUCAUUCACAGACUAAGUGACGGUGGCCGUGCCCUGGAGGUGCGGCUAGGAUAUAGCCGAUUCCCCCCCCGGAAAAUAAGGGGGGCGUACCUAAAGAGUAGCUGGUUCCUNNNNNNNNNNNNGCCGAAGUUUCCCUCAGGAUAGCAGUAACGUUUUCAGUUUUAUGAGGUAAAGCGAAUGAUUAGAAGCCUUGGGGAUGUAAAAUCCUUAACUUAUUCUCAAACUUUAAAUAUGUAAGAAGUCCUUGUUGCUUAGUUGAACGUGGACAUUUGAAUGUACCGUUACUAGUGGGCCAUUUUUGGUAAGCAGAACUGGCGAUGCGGGAUGAACCGAACGCGAGGUUAAGGUGCCGGAAUAUACGCUCAUCAGACACCACAAAAGGUGUUGGUUCAUCUAGACAGCCUGACGGUGGCCAUGGAAGUCGGAAUCCGCUAAGGAGUGUGUAACAACUUACAGGCCGAAUGAACCAGCCCUGAAAAUGGAUGGCGCUCAAGCGUGUUACCCAUACCUCGCCGCCAGGGUAGAUACGAUGCCCUGGCGAGUAGGCAGGCGUGGGGGUCAGUGACGAAGCCUUGGGAGUGAUCCCGGGUCAAACGGCCCCU
This 1577-nucleotide ribosomal RNA is filed under the name Sarcogyne plicata. RNAcentral's name for it is "eukaryotic LSU rRNA". It matches the Rfam family "Eukaryotic large subunit ribosomal RNA", at positions 65 to 1440 of the family's 3401-position model. Lineage: Eukaryota; Fungi; Ascomycota; Lecanoromycetes; Acarosporales; Acarosporaceae. The record is from RNAcentral.